GCCUACGGGGGGCAGCAGUAGGGAAUCUUCCACAAUGGGCGAAAGCCUGAUGGAGCAACGCCGCGUGGGUGAAGAAGGUCUUCGGAUCGUAAAACCCUGUUGUUAGAGAAGAAAGUGCGUGAGAGUAACUGUUCACGUUUCGACGGUAUCUAACCAGAAAGCCACGGCUAACUACGUGCCAGCAGCCGCGGUAAUACGUAGGUGGCAAGCGUUAUCCGGAUUUAUUGGGCGUAAAGCGAGUGCAGGCGGUUCAAUAAGUCUGAUGUGAAAGCCUUCGGCUCAA
This 283-nucleotide ribosomal RNA is filed under the name uncultured bacterium. RNAcentral's name for it is "partial 16S ribosomal RNA". It matches the Rfam family "Bacterial small subunit ribosomal RNA", at positions 337 to 612 of the family's 1533-position model. The record is from RNAcentral.